GAUGAACGCUGGCGGCGUGCCUAAUACAUGCAAGUCGAGCGAACAGAUGAGGAGCUUGCUCCUCUGACGUUAGCGGCGGACGGGUGAGUAACACGUGGAUAACCUACCUAUAAGACUGGGAUAACUUCGGGAAACCGGAGCUAAUACCGGAUAAUAUAUUGAACCGCAUGGUUCAAUAGUGAAAGACGGUUUUGCUGUCACUUAUAGAUGGAUCCGCGCCGCAUUAGCUAGUUGGUAAGGUAACGGCUUACCAAGGCGACGAUGCGUAGCCGACCUGAGAGGGUGAUCGGCCACACUGGAACUGAGACACGGUCCAGACUCCUACCGGAGGCAGCAGUAGGGAAUCGUCCGCAAUGGGCGAAAGCCUGACGGAGCAACGCCGCGUGAGUGAUGAAGGUCUUCGGAUCGUAAAACUCUGUUAUUAGGGAAGAACAAAUGUGUAAGUAACUAUGCACGUCUUGACGGUACCUAAUCAGAAAGCCACGGCUAACUACGUG
This 497-nucleotide ribosomal RNA is filed under the name uncultured bacterium. RNAcentral's name for it is "partial 16S ribosomal RNA". It matches the Rfam family "Bacterial small subunit ribosomal RNA", at positions 28 to 507 of the family's 1533-position model. The record is from RNAcentral.